UACUACGGUAGUGAAGUCAUUGAUGCCAUGCUUCCAGGAAAAGCCUCUAAGCUUCAGAUUGUAAGGAAUCGUACCCCAAACCGACACAGGUGGUCGGGUAGAGAAUACCAAGGCGCUUGAGAGAACUCGGGUGAAGGAACUAGGCAAAAUGGUACCGUAACUUCGGGAGAAGGUACGCUCUCGACGGUGAAGUCCCUCGCGGAUGGAGCUAUUGAGAGUCGCAGAUACCAGGUGGCUGCAACUGUUUAUUAAAAACAC
This 258-nucleotide ribosomal RNA is filed under the name Vibrio parahaemolyticus. Its description in RNAcentral is "partial 23S ribosomal RNA". It matches the Rfam family "Bacterial large subunit ribosomal RNA", at positions 1575 to 1816 of the family's 2925-position model. Lineage: Bacteria; Pseudomonadati; Pseudomonadota; Gammaproteobacteria; Vibrionales; Vibrionaceae. The record is from RNAcentral.